UACAGAGGGUGCGAACGUUAAUCGGAAUUACUGGGCGUAAAGCGUGCGUAGACGGUUAUUUAAGUCGGGUGUGAAAGCCCCGGGCUCAACCUGGGAAUUGCAUUCGAGACUGAAUAGCUAGGGUACGGUAGAGGGGAGCGGAAUUUCCGGUGUAGCGGUGAAAUGCGUAGAUAUCGGAAGGAACAUCAGUGGCGAAAGCGGCUUCCUGGACCAGUACCGACGUUCAGGCACGAAAGCGUGGGGAGCAAACAGG
RNAcentral lists this ribosomal RNA (253 nucleotides) under uncultured bacterium. Its description in RNAcentral is "partial 16S ribosomal RNA". It matches the Rfam family "Bacterial small subunit ribosomal RNA", at positions 524 to 776 of the family's 1533-position model. The record is from RNAcentral.